UGCUCAGGCCGUGUGGCCAGAAAUAGGCUAAUUAUUAAGCCUUUUAUCACUCUCACACCAUAUGCAUAGAUACAUACUUAUCCAAUAACAUACAACGUGACAUAAAUGAGCUCUUAAACAUCUACAAACAUGUUAUGCUCAAGUUAUUUUCUUAUGCAAUAAAUAUUAUAGAAUUUGCCUAUAUCAUUACCACAUACUAGACAUAACUAUCAUUACAUCACAAACCAUUCAUGAAGCAUUAUUAACUAUUUACCAAUCACUUAAUCCUGCAUUAGUUACUAGCUCAUCAAUGAAUCUCAAUUCAAUCUCUAGGCAUACAUGUUGUAAGCCACAUCACAAGAAAUAAUAACAUAAAUGCAUAAGAAUAAUCAUAUGGGCCCAUAACGAUAUUAGCCGACAUAGGCCAAUUUACAUAACUAAUACUACCUUAAUAACAAGUCAAUGCCUUUGGCUAAAUCAUAAUAUUACAUACUCACAUUAAAACCCUAUACAUGCCAUAGACUCGAAUCACUUGAGUUUACUUACUCCGAUAACGUUAACUCGAUAGGGUGAUAAUAUCUCUGACGGCCUCCAACCCGAGCUAACCUGGAAACUCUAAAAAACAUGGGAAAGAAGGGGGGUAAGCUUUCGCUUAGUAAGUUCAUAUGAAAACAAUAAGCAACUCAUUAACUUGUUUUAUCAAUGUUUACAACAUAUUCUCAAGUUCACUACAAGUUGUCUUCCUGAGCAACAAUCACUAAAUUAUUUAUAUCUGGAGCUAGACUUAUUUUCCUUUCUUCCAUAAAAUUUCCAGAAUUUUUGGUUAAGCCAAAUAGUACAGUUUAUUAGUUAAAGUCUCCCCUGUUUCAGGGUAUGACCACUCUGACCCCUGUUCACUACAAACUGAAUUUAUCCCUGUAAAAAAUUCCAACGACCAUGCCGUUUAUUUCCCAUAAAAAUAGACUCAAUAAGGAAUCUAUGCAUGCAAGGUAUAACUCUUAAUAAUUUUUGUACAAUUUUUGGUGAAUUUCUAAAGUUAGAACAGGGGAUCUCGAAUUCAUUCAGACCCUAUUUCACAAGAAUUCAAAUAUCACACAAUAUGGAAUUCUUUUUCUUCUUCUGUUUCUUUCAUGUGAAAAUAUACUCAUUGAGCUUUAAUCCCAUAUUUUAUUCUGCCUCUAACUCAUUUUCCACUAUUUUUAGUGUAUUUUCAAAGUUACACUACUGCAGUAACUCAAAUCUGUCAAGGCUAAAUUACUCAUUCAUGAUCAUUGUUCACAAAAUUAAUACAACAUCGUUUGUAUAAUCAUCACCGAGACAUUCAUAUCAGAUUUUCAUUUACCAUCUUACCAUAUUGUUGUUAUGUCGAGUUUUCAACCCGAGGGUUAAGUACAUACCUGUUCAAAGUAUCCAUUUCACAACAUUUACCAAUACGUCCCUUUCAUCUCGAGUAUUCCUCCAUUUGAGUAGAAUUUUACCCGUUGAACACAUCGGAAUAUAAUUCGGAUACAUGGAAAGUUUGCACAUAAGUGCCACAUAUGUAGCCAAGCUACCAUGUAACCCGCCCAUAAGUGAACUCGGACUCAACUCAACGAGCUCGGGCGUUCGCAUCCAUAAGUGAACUCGGACUCAACUCAACGAGCUCGGAUGCCUAGUUACAUCUCACGAACUCAGACUCAACUCAACGAGUUCGAACAUUCGCAUCCAUAAGUGAACUCGGACUCAACUCAACGAGUUCGGAUGCUCAACCAUCCUAGUGACAUGUCACUUGUAUCCUAAUCUAUUCCUAAGGUUCAAACGGGAUUUUCCUCGAACACAUAUCCUUGCCAUCUUCCGUAAAAUACCGAAACCAAUACUCGGUAGCACUUUAUAUUUAACAGAUAAUACACAUAACUUGCAUUUUAUUCGAAAAUAACCACAAAGCAUAUAUUUCAUGAUAAAAAUCAGCAUAUCAUAUAUUUAACAUCAAUAACUUAAAAAUAACAAUUAUGCUACAUUAUUUACAUAUGAACUUACCUCAUACCACAAAGGUGAAAAGACAUACUCGUCCAUAAAUCGAUUUCUUUCCGUUCUAGGUCCAAAUCUCAAUUUUCAUCAUCUAUAACAUCACAUUUAGCCUACCAAUCAGUCACAAUAUUCAUAUGGAUCAAAAAAUCAUAUUUUUACAAAUUUUUAUUUUGACCCCUAAACUUUUGCAUAUUUGCACUUUUGCCUCAAUGCUCGUAAAUUAAUUUUAUCAUAUUUAUUUACUCCUUGAGUCUAUAUGAACUAUUUUCAUAACUAUAGCAACUCAUAAUUUCAACUAUUUUACAUAUUUACAACUCAUUUUACAACUUAGCAAUUUACCCCUUUUUAAAGGUAUUUUCAUGCAAUUUCUUUCACAAAAGUUGUUUAUUAGACAACUAGGACUCAUUAUCUUCCAUAAAAACACAGCAAACAACACAUUUACUCUCAUAGUAAAACCCUAGACUCUUCAUCAUUUUGCAAAAUAAUCCCCUCUUAUGAAAGCUUAUGCUUUAGGGGUUCCAAAAAUACAAAAAUCAUCAAGCAAAGACAUUAAAAUCACUUACAAGCAAGGGAAAUAUGUUGCUGAAAUUUUCCAGCUUCAAAACCCUUUCUUUGCUGCAUAUUUCGGUGAAGGGGAAGAAAAAAAUGAUAGCAUUUUCUUUUUCUUUUUUUUU
RNAcentral lists this long non-coding RNA (2660 nucleotides) under Gossypium barbadense (sea-island cotton). RNAcentral's name for it is "long non-coding RNA (GBAR_LNC010010)". Lineage: Eukaryota; Viridiplantae; Streptophyta; Magnoliopsida; Malvales; Malvaceae. The record is from RNAcentral.